AGCGAACGCUGGCGGCGGGCUUAACACAUGCAAGUCGAGCGGGCGUAGCAAUACGUCAGCGGCAGACGGGUGAGUAACGCGUGGGAACAUACCUUUUGGUUCGGAACAACACAGGGAAACUUGUGCUAAUACCGGAUAAGCCCUUACGGGGAAAGAUUUAUCGCCGAAAGAUUGGCCCGCGUCUGAUUAGCUAGUUGGUGAGGUAACGGCUCACCAAGGCGACGAUCAGUAGCUGGCUGAGAGGAUGAUCAGCCACAUUGGGACUGAGACACGGCCCAAACUCCUACGGGAGGCAGCAGUGGGGAAUAUUGGACAAUGGGCGAAAGCCUGAUCCAGCCAUGCCGCGUGAGUGAUGAAGGCCCUAGGGUUGUAAAGCUCUUUUGUGCGGGAAGAUAAUGACGGUACCGCAAGAAUAAGCCCCGGCUAACUUCGUGCCAGCCGCCGCGGUAAC
This 451-nucleotide ribosomal RNA is filed under the name uncultured bacterium. RNAcentral's name for it is "bacterial SSU rRNA". It matches the Rfam family "Bacterial small subunit ribosomal RNA", at positions 29 to 524 of the family's 1533-position model. The record is from RNAcentral.